Notechis scutatus (mainland tiger snake) is the source of this 1196-nucleotide non-coding RNA. The record is from RefSeq and is a predicted model, not a curated record. NCBI's taxonomy places the organism in Eukaryota, Metazoa, Chordata, Lepidosauria, Squamata, Elapidae.
ACUAACUCUUCGUGAUUAUACAACAUACUAUUUCCACGCCAAGAACAAUCAACUGAUGGAUUUGCAAGUUGCCUCCCUUGUGUGUUUUUUCCAACUCUACCAAAAAAAGUUUGCCAGAUGAUAGUGGCACAAAGGUAAAUAGUAAUAGAAUGGAACCCUGAGCUACAGAAAGAUUGCCUGCAUCUCCUCUACACACCAUGUUUUUCCACACUGAAAUUAAAGUGUUGAACUCAGAAGAAGAAAAACCCAGAACAUUAGCAGCUUUGCAACAACUAUAUUGCUUAUCUUUUACCAUUAAUAUUACAAAUGCUAUCCAGUGAUAUUUGCUAAAAAUAUCUACAAAAAUGCUUAAUACUUGUAAAGUUGAUAAAAAGGGAAGUGGUAAACAGCCUGUUGAACUUUAGAGACUUGUAAUGAAGCACUAGGACUGUAACUGGAAAUUUUGGCCUCGGGUUUUGUUGAUUAUUCACUAACUAAACAUGUUGAGCCACUGUGUGGUAUUACUUGAACUAAAGGCUUACUGGUGGCAGAUAUUACUCUAAUUACAAAGUCUCAUUUUACUGUCUUCAUAUCACUUCUCUGUGGGGUUGAUAUAGCAGAUAAGAAAAAAAAACCAUUACAUUUCAGGUUUGUUUAUAAAGCAAUCGAAGGAGACCAACUUGAUUGAGGGAGAACAUCUGGGCUAUAUAUCCCCACGUAUUUCAAACCACUGUACUGCCCAGAAAUUAAGUUAUUAUGCCCAAGAAAAAGAAAAUAACUGUUACAUAUAAAACUUAUUUCUAGAGCAAAUAAACAUUUUGCUAAUAUCAUCAUUUUAUAUAAUUUCCUACUUGGAUGCAAAAUGGUUUCCAAUAACAAUACUCUAAGGGUAUGACUUGGGAAAAUAACUUUGCACAGAGCAAAGUAAAACAAAUAAAACAAAAUAAAAUAAAUCAUGCAAACCUAAUUUUAACUACAUUAUUAUAAAGCAAUGGAUUACUCUUUCGUGGGGGAAUAUGAAACAUUUCAAAUUCGAAUCAUCUUUAAUUUUAAAUUGGUAGCUAAUUGGAAGACUGCGUCCAAGAUUUCACUGAACAGAAAUUAAAUCUGUUGGGUACCCUGCAUAUGACUUUAAGACCCAUUCUAAGAGAGUUCAGCUGUGAUGUCUCACGUAAACAGACUUUGAUUUACAAUGUGUCAGUCCUCAAAGUAAGAAG